GCUCUGCUGAGGUGUCCCAGUAUAGGACGAAACGGCCGUCCAGUGC
This is a non-coding RNA of Schistosoma haematobium, 46 nucleotides long. The record is from Rfam. Lineage: Eukaryota; Metazoa; Platyhelminthes; Trematoda; Strigeidida; Schistosomatidae.